This 497-nucleotide ribosomal RNA is filed under the name uncultured bacterium. Its description in RNAcentral is "partial 16S ribosomal RNA". It matches the Rfam family "Bacterial small subunit ribosomal RNA", at positions 28 to 507 of the family's 1533-position model. The record is from RNAcentral.
GAUGAACGCUGGCCGCGUGCCUAAUACAUGCAAGUCGAGCGAACAGACGAGGAGCUUGCUCCUCUGACGUUAUCGGCGGACGGGUGAGUAACACGUGGAUAACCUACCUAUAAGACUGGGAUAACUUCGGGAAACCGGAGCUAAUACCGGAUAAUAUAUUGAACCGCAUGGUUCAAUAGUUAAAGACGGUUUUGCUGUCACUUAUAGAUGGAUCCGCGCCGCAUUAGCUAGUUGGUAAGGUAACGGCUUACCAAGGCAACGAUGCGUAGCCGACCUGAGAGGGUGAUCGGCCACACUGGAACUGAGACACGGUCCAGACUCCUACGGGAGGCAGCAGUAGGGAAUCUUCCGCAAUGGGCGAAAGCCUGACGUAGCAACGCCGCGUGAGUGAUGAAGGUCUUCGGAUCGUAAAACUCUGUUAUUAGGGAAGAACAAAUGUGUAAGUAACUAUGCACGUAUUGACGGUACCUAAUCAGAAAGCCACGGCUAACUACGUG